AACGAACGCUGGCGGCGUGGAUAAGACAUGCAAGUCGAACGGGACUUAACCUGUAGCAAUACAGGUUAAGUUUAGUGGCGAACGGGUGCGUAACACGUGGGCAAUCUGCCGAAAAGUGGGGGAUAGCUCGCCGAAAGGCGAAUUAAUACCGCAUAUGGUCAGCCAAGACAUCUUGGUGAAUCCAAAGCCGGGGCAACCUGGCGCUUUUUGAGGAGCCCGCGGCCUAUCAGCUAGUGGUGAGGUAACGGCUCACCAAGGCUUUGACGGGUAGCUGGUCUGAGAGGACGACCAGUCACACUGGAACUGAGACACGGUCCAGACACCUACGGGUGGCAGCAGUCGAGAAUUUUUCUCAAUGGGGAAACCCUGAAGGAGCGACGCCGCGUGGAGGAUGAAGG
Molecule: ribosomal RNA, 398 nt
Filed under: uncultured bacterium
Lineage: Bacteria
Description: bacterial SSU rRNA
Rfam family: Bacterial small subunit ribosomal RNA
Source: RNAcentral